This 324-nucleotide ribosomal RNA is filed under the name uncultured eukaryote. RNAcentral describes it as "partial 18S ribosomal RNA". It matches the Rfam family "Eukaryotic small subunit ribosomal RNA", at positions 1470 to 1796 of the family's 1831-position model. The record is from RNAcentral.
CCCUUAGAUGCUCGGGGCCGCACGCGCGCUACACUGGUCGAUGCAACGAGUUUCUUUCCUUGGCCGACAGGCCUGGGCAAUCUUUGAACAUCGAUCGUGAUCGGGAUAGAUUCUUGUAAUUUUUGAUCUUAAACGAGGAAUUCCUAGUAAACGCAAGUCAUCAGCUUGCAUUGAUUACGUCCCUGCCCUUUGUACACACCGCCCGUCGCACCUACCGAUUGAAUGGUCCGGUGAAAUCUCCGGACUGGCGUGAGUCGGAGCAAUCUGACAAACACCGGAAAGUUGAUUAAACCUUACCAUUUAGAGGAAGGUGAAGUCGUAACA